RNAcentral lists this ribosomal RNA (1623 nucleotides) under Staphylococcus aureus. RNAcentral describes it as "partial 23S ribosomal RNA". It matches the Rfam family "Bacterial large subunit ribosomal RNA", at positions 1303 to 2925 of the family's 2925-position model. RNAcentral also lists the same sequence under 1 other name. Lineage: Bacteria; Bacillati; Bacillota; Bacilli; Caryophanales; Staphylococcaceae. The record is from RNAcentral.
UGAGUAGCGAAAGACGGGUGAGAAUCCCGUCCACCGAUUGACUAAGGUUUCCAGAGGAAGGCUCGUCCGCUCUGGGUUAGUCGGGUCCUAAGCUGAGGCCGACAGGCGUAGGCGAUGGAUAACAGGUUGAUAUUCCUGUACCACCUAUAAUCGUUUUAAUCGAUGGGGGGACGCAGUAGGAUAGGCGAAGCGUGCGAUUGGAUUGCACGUCUAAGCAGUAAGGCUGAGUAUUAGGCAAAUCCGGUACUCGUUAAGGCUGAGCUGUGAUGGGGAGAAGACAUUGUGUCUUCGAGUCGUUGAUUUCACACUGCCGAGAAAAGCCUCUAGAUAGAAAAUAGGUGCCCGUACCGCAAACCGACACAGGUAGUCAAGAUGAGAAUUCUAAGGUGAGCGAGCGAACUCUCGUUAAGGAACUCGGCAAAAUGACCCCGUAACUUCGGGAGAAGGGGUGCUCUUUAGGGUUAACGCCCAGAAGAGCCGCAGUGAAUAGGCCCAAGCGACUGUUUAUCAAAAACACAGGUCUCUGCUAAACCGUAAGGUGAUGUAUAGGGGCUGACGCCUGCCCGGUGCUGGAAGGUUAAGAGGAGUGGUUAGCUUCUGCGAAGCUACGAAUCGAAGCCCCAGUAAACGGCGGCCGUAACUAUAACGGUCCUAAGGUAGCGAAAUUCCUUGUCGGGUAAGUUCCGACCCGCACGAAAGGCGUAACGAUUUGGGCACUGUCUCAACGAGAGACUCGGUGAAAUCAUAGUACCUGUGAAGAUGCAGGUUACCCGCGACAGGACGGAAAGACCCCGUGGAGCUUUACUGUAGCCUGAUAUUGAAAUUCGGCACAGCUUGUACAGGAUAGGUAGGAGCCUUUGAAACGUGAGCGCUAGCUUACGUGGAGGCGCUGGUGGGAUACUACCCUAGCUGUGUUGGCUUUCUAACCCGCACCACUUAUCGUGGUGGGAGACAGUGUCAGGCGGGCAGUUUGACUGGGGCGGUCGCCUCCUAAAAGGUAACGGAGGCGCUCAAAGGUUCCCUCAGAAUGGUUGGAAAUCAUUCAUAGAGUGUAAAGGCAUAAGGGAGCUUGACUGCGAGACCUACAAGUCGAGCAGGGUCGAAAGACGGACUUAGUGAUCCGGUGGUUCCGCAUGGAAGGGCCAUCGCUCAACGGAUAAAAGCUACCCCGGGGAUAACAGGCUUAUCUCCCCCAAGAGUUCACAUCGACGGGGAGGUUUGGCACCUCGAUGUCGGCUCAUCGCAUCCUGGGGCUGUAGUCGGUCCCAAGGGUUGGGCUGUUCGCCCAUUAAAGCGGUACGCGAGCUGGGUUCAGAACGUCGUGAGACAGUUCGGUCCCUAUCCGUCGUGGGCGUAGGAAAUUUGAGAGGAGCUGUCCUUAGUACGAGAGGACCGGGAUGGACAUACCUCUGGUGUACCAGUUGUCGUGCCAACGGCAUAGCUGGGUAGCUAUGUGUGGACGGGAUAAGUGCUGAAAGCAUCUAAGCAUGAAGCCCCCCUCAAGAUGAGAUUUCCCAACUUCGGUUAUAAGAUCCCUCAAAGAUGAUGAGGUUAAUAGGUUCGAGGUGGAAGCAUGGUGACAUGUGGAGCUGACGAAUACUAAUCGAUCGAAGACUUAAUCAA